AAACCCUCUCAUUCCAAUUCUUUAUUAAUUUGAAGAUGUUGGUAAUGGAUGUUGAGUGUUUGCUGUGUUAAACAGCUCACUUUAAAUAUAUAAGUACAUUUCUUUGAUAAAUAAAUGGAGAAAUACUUGGUGUGAUAAUUAUCAUUCAUCAAGGAAUGUUAGAGUAGUAAAAUACUUUGACAGCCAUUUGACUUUCAAGUUAAUAGCUUCCUAACCCCAAUAUUAUAUAAACU
This 233-nucleotide unclassified non-coding RNA is filed under the name Nothopucciniastrum fagi. RNAcentral's name for it is "Pucciniastrum fagi ITS2". Lineage: Eukaryota; Fungi; Basidiomycota; Pucciniomycetes; Pucciniales; Pucciniastraceae. The record is from RNAcentral.